AGCUGGCUGAGAGAGACCUGCAGGAUCAGCAGCUCAGACACCAAGCAGAGCUGCACAGUCUGAGGGAGGAGAGCCUGCAGGUGUUCAGAGUUUUUCGUCAGGCGAGCCAGGAGCGGAGGAAGGUUUCAGAGAGCCGACACAGAGGUGUGCUGCUGGAAGCUGUGCAGGAUGCCAUCUACCUGUCUGCACAAAACCAGCAACUCCAAGCUGACAAUAAACAACUCCGUAAAGCACUGGGUGAGCUGAAGGAUGCUGUAACUGUGAGCGGUGAGCCUAUGGUUGAUCUGAAAUCCACCCAACAGUGAUGAAUGUUGAUAUUGUGUAUGCAUAUGCAAGUAAAUAUAUAUUCAGCUGUGUACGCAUUCAUUUAUGGAAAUAUAUCUAUAGAAAAGAGUUGACAUAAAUGCUAAUGAGACGAUUUCUAUUGUUUUAAGGAGUACGGAGUUGGUAAAUUACAUCAUUACAGAUAUUGUGGUUUGAUUUGAUAGUAGUUUGUCAAUGGAUUAUUUUCCCCAUUUUCCACAAUUGUUCUAAAUGUUAAAGUAAAAGGAAUAUCCAAUAAAAGCAUAUAAAAUGAAAAAAACUCA
RNAcentral lists this long non-coding RNA (587 nucleotides) under Gouania willdenowi (blunt-snouted clingfish). RNAcentral's name for it is "lncRNA (ENSGWIG00000004976.1)". Lineage: Eukaryota; Metazoa; Chordata; Actinopteri; Blenniiformes; Gobiesocidae. The record is from RNAcentral.